AUGCACGCUGGCGGCGUGCUUAACCCCUGCCAGUCGAACGAAGCACUUUAUUUGAUUUCCUUCGGGACUGAUUAUUUUGUGACUGAGUGGCGGACGGGUGAGUAACGCGUGGGUAACCUGCCUUGUACAGGGGGAUAACAGUUGGAAACGGCUGCUAAUACCGCAUAAGCGCACGGCAUCGCAUGAUGCAGUGUGAAAAACUCCGGUGGUAUAAGAUGGACCCGCGUUGGAUUAGCUAGUUGGUGAGGUAACGGCCCACCAAGGCGACGAUCCAUAGCCGACCUGAGAGGGUGACCGGCCACAUUGGGACUGAGACACGGCCCAAACUCCUACGGGAGGCAGCAGUGGGGAAUAUUGCACAAUGGGCGAAAGCCUGAUGCAGCGACGCCGCGUGAGCGAAGAAGUAUUUCGGUAUGUAAAGCUCUAUCAGCAGGGAAGAUAAUGACGGUACCUGACUAAGAAGCACCGGCUAAAUACGUG
This 480-nucleotide ribosomal RNA is filed under the name uncultured bacterium. RNAcentral's name for it is "partial 16S ribosomal RNA". It matches the Rfam family "Bacterial small subunit ribosomal RNA", at positions 29 to 507 of the family's 1533-position model. The record is from RNAcentral.